This 77-nucleotide transfer RNA is filed under the name Rubrivirga marina. RNAcentral describes it as "tRNA-Lys". It matches the Rfam family "tRNA". Rfam says of the family: Transfer RNA (tRNA) molecules are approximately 80 nucleotides in length. Their secondary structure includes four short double-helical elements and three loops (D, anti-codon, and T loops). Lineage: Bacteria; Pseudomonadati; Rhodothermota; Rhodothermia; Rhodothermales; Rubricoccaceae. The record is from RNAcentral.
GCCCCUAUAGCUCAGUUGGUUAGAGCAGCGGACUCUUAAUCCGCGUGUCGUAGGUUCGAAUCCUACUGGGGGCACCC